Molecule: ribosomal RNA, 465 nt
Filed under: uncultured bacterium
Lineage: Bacteria
Description: partial 16S ribosomal RNA
Rfam family: Bacterial small subunit ribosomal RNA
Source: RNAcentral
GACGAACGCUGGCGGCGUGCUUAACACAUGCAAGUCGAACGGAAAGGCCCUGCUUGCAGGGUACUCGAGUGGCGAACGGGUGAGUAACACGUGGGUGAUCUGCCCUGCACUUCGGGAUAAGCCUGGGAAACUGGGUCUAAUACCGGAUAUGACCUUCCAUGUAGUGUGGGGGGUGGAAAGAUUUAUCGGUGUGGGAUGAGCCCGCGGCCUAUCAGCUUGUUGGUGGGGUAAUGGCCUACCAAGGCGUCGACGGGUAGCCGGCCUGAGAGGGUGGACGGCCACAUUGGGACUGAGAUACGGCCCAGGCUCCUACGGGAGGCAGCAGUGGGGAAUAUUGCACAAUGGGCGGAAGCCUGAUGCAGCGACGCCGCGUGGGGGAUGACGGCCUUCGGGUUGUAAACCUCUUUCGACAGGGACGAAGCUUCGGUGACGGUACCUGUAUAAGAAGCACCGGCUAACUACGUG